Acanthosepion pharaonis is the source of this 98-nucleotide non-coding RNA. The record is from the annotation of a GenBank genome assembly. NCBI's taxonomy places the organism in Eukaryota, Metazoa, Mollusca, Cephalopoda, Sepiida, Sepiidae.
GUUGAAACAUUGGUUCCUGUACAAUUGCUGAAGUUAAGCAAUGUCAAGCCUGGUCAGUACCUUGAUGGGUAACCACUUGGGAAUACCAGGUGCUGUAA